GACGAACGCUGGCGGCGUGCUUAACACAUGCAAGUCGAGCGGUAAGGCCCUUUCGGGGGUACACGAGCGGCGAACGGGUGAGUAACACGUGGGUGACCUGCCCUCAGCUCUGGGAUAAGCCUGGGAAACCGGGUCUAAUACUGGAUAUGACUCCAUGACGGCAUGUUGUGGGGUGGAAAGCCUUGUGCGGCUGAGGAUGGGCCCGCGGCCUAGUCAGCUUGUUGGUGGGGUGAGGCCUACCAAGGCGACGACGGGUAGCCGGCCUGAGAGGGCGACCGGCCACACUGGGACUGAGACACGGCCCAGACUCCUACGGGAGGCAGCAGUGGGGAAUCUUGCGCAAUGGGCGAAAGCCUGACGCAGCGACGCCGCGUGAGGGAUGACGGCCU
Molecule: ribosomal RNA, 389 nt
Filed under: uncultured bacterium
Lineage: Bacteria
Description: bacterial SSU rRNA
Rfam family: Bacterial small subunit ribosomal RNA
Source: RNAcentral